RNAcentral lists this long non-coding RNA (677 nucleotides) under Marmota monax (woodchuck). The record is from RNAcentral. Lineage: Eukaryota; Metazoa; Chordata; Mammalia; Rodentia; Sciuridae.
GGGUUGUAAAACUGGUAAGAGGUUUACUUACCUUAUAAAAAGAUUUCCAUGCAUCUCAAAAGGAAUAGAGAAAGAAUUCACAAUUACAAGUUUUCUAAAAAAAAAAAAUGCUCGAAGAAAAGUGAGGGGAGAAGAGUCUUUUCGCACCGGUGAAAAAUUAAACUUUAGUUCUUAUUUUUAAUUUACAUUUGCCCUUACACCCCUCGUUUCACAAAUAUUAUCAUAGUUAACAGUUAUUGAAUGUUUACUAUUUAAUCGAAGUGUUCUGCAAACAACUGCCACGAUUAAUCCUCUCUACAACCUAAAAGAGAGAUGCUGUUACUACCGUUCCCACUUAAUGGACAAGUACCUGGCCCAGAGAGGUUAAGUGACUUGCUCACAGAGUCACAUAGUAACUGGCCGACUUAGGAUUCCCGGACUUCCAAAACAGGCGAUCUUAGUCACCAGGCUACAAGGCUGCAUGAAACGACCCUGUGCCCCAUUGAUUCUGACAGGGUCUCAUCGCGGACCUUCUGGGAGGGAGGGCAGAAGGAGAAGACGAAGAAGGUUACGGAAAUUCCCCCUGAAAGCCCCGAAAUGACCGAAGCACGAGGCUAGGGACGUAGGGAUUAAGGUAGCAUGCACGUCCAAGAAAAAUUAGCACUUUCGAGUUUAUACAGCGCCGCACAACACUAACC